RNAcentral lists this ribosomal RNA (465 nucleotides) under Vreelandella stevensii. Its description in RNAcentral is "partial 16S ribosomal RNA". It matches the Rfam family "Bacterial small subunit ribosomal RNA", at positions 338 to 795 of the family's 1533-position model. Lineage: Bacteria; Pseudomonadati; Pseudomonadota; Gammaproteobacteria; Oceanospirillales; Halomonadaceae. The record is from RNAcentral.
CCUACGGGUGGCAGCAGUGGGGAAUAUUGGACAAUGGGGGGAACCCUGAUCCAGCCAUGCCGCGUGUGUGAAGAAGGCCCUCGGGUUGUAAAGCACUUUCAGUGAGGAAGAACGCCUGGUGGUUAAUACCCAUCAGGAAAGACAUCACUCACAGAAGAAGCACCGGCUAACUCCGUGCCAGCAGCCGCGGUAAUACGGAGGGUGCGAGCGUUAAUCGGAAUUACUGGGCGUAAAGCGCGCGUAGGUGGCUUGAUAAGCCGGUUGUGAAAGCCCCGGGCUCAACCUGGGAACGGCAUCCGGAACUGUCAAGCUAGAGUGCAGGAGAGGAAGGUAGAAUUCCCGGUGUAGCGGUGAAAUGCGUAGAGAUCGGGAGGAAUCCCAGUGGCGAAGGCGGCCUUCUGGACUGACACUGACACUGAGGUGCGAAAGCGUGGGUAGCAAACAGGAUUAGAUACCCCUGUAGUC